This 28-nucleotide non-coding RNA is filed under the name Mus musculus (house mouse). The record is from RNAcentral. Lineage: Eukaryota; Metazoa; Chordata; Mammalia; Rodentia; Muridae.
UAGCUUAGUGCUGCUGAUGACGUCUGUC